AUAUUGAUAAUUCUAUUUUUCAAAUAGAAUAUUUUCAGUGUUCUGGAAAUUGUUUUCAUCAUGGUUUUAUUAGUACAGUAUUUACUUUUUCAAACGGCGAAACGAAACGUAUCGCGAUGUCUAUGACAGAGCGGCUGUCAGUGGAGCUGUCAAAUGACUUAGGAAUUUGUCGAUCGUGCGCAACCGCAAUUUGAUUAUUUUCGGGAAUGUAAUUCCUUUUAUUUCAAAUCGGGUGGUGCAAAAUGCAUCCACGAUAAUUUCUUGAUGAAUAAAUAAAAAUAACACACAUGAGAGAUUCCCUAAAUUCUAUUCGGAUGAGGGUAUUGGGUUGCUGAGGGCUGCGAGCGAAGCUCAAAUUAGUGAACAGCCUUCGUAAGUAUUUCUUUCCCAUUGCGGUUUUUUUCAUAACCUAAUGCCACGUUCCACAUGUGAUGCUGACACACGUAUUUUUCGUUUCAGAUGCGGGAUUUCAUAGAUUUCAUAUUUUACAUGUUGAUAUUUCAUAUAUUUUAAUUUCUCUUCAUUUCGUAUCAAAUAUUUGUCCUUUCUAAACUGCUGAUCUCUUCGCAUUUCCUCCUUGUCAUCAAACCUCUGUCUCUGCAAGAGUUUGAACGCUUACCUGUCGAAGAGAUGCAAGAGCUUCAUCUGGCACUGCGCGCUUGAGGCCGUGGAGGACGCUGCUUGGAGCCUAAAAGUGUGCGAGACCCGUUGGACCCCGGAAGAAGAGAGGAACGUUCAGGGUAACGGCUUAUAACCGCAUGGCUUCCAAGGUACCCACUUUUCCAUCCUUCAAGUAGGAGUCUUUCCGACCUGACAUCGUGCAGUUAUCUUAACUAUUAGAGUCUUUUAAUAUUUAGGCUGAGUUUUAAGAAAUUUGUAGUGGCAAUAAUAUUCACCAAACCGAACCUAAUUAACGACCCUGAAUCCCUUGAGAUUGGCACUAUUACAGUAGUUAUUAUAAUAUCGUAAUUGUUAACUUUAUACGAGCAUACGAGAUAAAAAUAAAUUGUGUCAAUUGA
Molecule: long non-coding RNA, 1019 nt
Organism: Ostrinia nubilalis (European corn borer)
Lineage: Eukaryota; Metazoa; Arthropoda; Insecta; Lepidoptera; Crambidae
Exons: 2
Source: RefSeq, a predicted model, not a curated record